UUGCUCGCUUCGGCAGCACAUAUACUAAAAUUGGAAUGAUACAGAGAAGAUACGCAUGGCCCCUGUGCAGGGAUGACAUGCACAUUUGUGAAGCGUUCCAUAUUUUU
Molecule: small nuclear RNA, 107 nt
Organism: Equus asinus (donkey)
Lineage: Eukaryota; Metazoa; Chordata; Mammalia; Perissodactyla; Equidae
Source: Ensembl